ACGGGUUAGUAACGCGUGGGAAUGUACCCUUCUCUACGGAAUAGCCUCGGGAAACUGAGAGUAAUACCGUAUACGCCCUUCGGGGGAAAGAUUUAUCGGAGAAGGAUCAGCCCGCGUAAGAUUAGAUAGUUGGUGGGGUAAUGGCCUACCAAGUCUACGAUCUUUAGCUGGUUUUAGAGGAUGAUCAGCAACACUGGGACUGAGACACGGCCCAGACUCCUACGGGAGGCAGCAGUGGGGAAUCUUGGACAAUGGGCGCAAGCCUGAUCCAGCCAUGCCGCGUGUGUGAUGAAGGCCUUAGGGUCGUAAAGCACUUUCGCUAGAGAUGAUAAUGACAGUAUCUAGUAAAGAAGUCCCGGCUAACUCCGUGCCAGCAGCCGCGGUAAUACGGAGGGGACUAGCGUUGUUCGGAAUUACUGGGCGUAAAGCGUACGUAGGCGGAUCAGAAAGUAUGGGGUGAAAUCCCAGGGCUCAACCCUGGAACUGCCUCAUAAACUCCUGGUCUAGAGUUCGAGAGAGGUGAGUGGAAUUCCGAGUGUAGAGGUGAAAUUCGUAGAUAUUCGGAGGAACACCAGUGGCGAAGGCGGCUCACUGGCUCGAUACUGACGCUGAGGUACGAAAGUGUGGGGAGCAAACAGGAUUAGAUACCCUGGUAGUCCACACCGUAAACGAUGAAUGCUAGUCGUCGGGUAGCAUGCUAUUCGGUGACACACCUAACGGAUUAAGCAUUCCG
RNAcentral lists this ribosomal RNA (733 nucleotides) under uncultured Alphaproteobacteria bacterium. RNAcentral describes it as "bacterial SSU rRNA". It matches the Rfam family "Bacterial small subunit ribosomal RNA", at positions 102 to 871 of the family's 1533-position model. Lineage: Bacteria; Pseudomonadati; Pseudomonadota; Alphaproteobacteria. The record is from RNAcentral.